GACAGAGGGUGCAAACGUUGUUCGGAAUUAUUGGGCGUAAAGCGCUCGUAGGCGGUUCGGUAAGUCGGGUGUGAAACCUCCAGGCUCAACCUGGUGACGCCACCCGAUACUGCCGUGACUUGAGUUCGGUAGGGGAGCGGGGAAUUCCUGGUGUAGCGGUGAAAUGCGCAGAUAUCAGGAGGAACACCGGUGGCGAAGGCGCCGCUCUGGGCCGAAACUGACGCUGAGGAGCGAAAGCGUGGGGAGCGAACAGG
RNAcentral lists this ribosomal RNA (254 nucleotides) under uncultured bacterium. RNAcentral describes it as "partial 16S ribosomal RNA". It matches the Rfam family "Bacterial small subunit ribosomal RNA", at positions 524 to 776 of the family's 1533-position model. The record is from RNAcentral.